GUGGGGAAUAUUGGACAAUGGGCGAAAGCCUGAUCCAGCCAUGCCGCGUGUGUGAAGAAGGUCUUCGGAUUGUAAAGCACUUUAAGUUGGGAGGAAGGGCAGUAAGUUAAUACCUUGCUGUUUUGACGUUACCGACAGAAUAAGCACCGGCUAACUUCGUGCCAGCAGCCGCGGUAAUACGAAGGGUGCAAGCGUUAAUCGGAAUUACUGGGCGUAAAGAGUGCGCAGGCGGUUAUAUAAGACAGAUGUGAAAUCCCCGGGCUCAACCUGGGAACUGCAUUUGUGACUGUAUAGCUAGAGUACGGUAGAGGGGGAUGGAAUUCCGCGUGUAGCAGUGAAAUGCGUAGAGAUCUGGAGGAAUACCGAUGGCGAAGGCAGCCAUCUGGCCUAAUACUGACACUGAGGUGCGAAAGCAUGGGGAGCAAACAGGAUUAGAUACCCUAGUAGUCC
This 450-nucleotide ribosomal RNA is filed under the name uncultured bacterium. RNAcentral's name for it is "bacterial SSU rRNA". It matches the Rfam family "Bacterial small subunit ribosomal RNA", at positions 354 to 796 of the family's 1533-position model. The record is from RNAcentral.